GACGAACCGUGCGAACGUUGUUCGGAAUCACUGGGCUUAAAGGGCGCGUAGGCGGGCGGUCAAGUCGGAGGUGAAAGCCUGCAGCUCAACUGCAGAAGUGCCCCCCGAUACUGAUGGCCUCGAGGGAGGUAGGGGCGUGCGGAACUUCCGGUGGAGCGGUGAAAUGCGUAGAUAUCGGAAGGAACACCGGUGGCGAAAGCGGCGCGCUGGACCUCUUCUGACGCUGAGGCGCGAAAGCCAGGGGAGCAAACGGG
Molecule: ribosomal RNA, 254 nt
Filed under: uncultured bacterium
Lineage: Bacteria
Description: partial 16S ribosomal RNA
Rfam family: Bacterial small subunit ribosomal RNA
Source: RNAcentral